Molecule: ribosomal RNA, 301 nt
Filed under: uncultured bacterium
Lineage: Bacteria
Description: partial 16S ribosomal RNA
Rfam family: Bacterial small subunit ribosomal RNA
Source: RNAcentral
CAGUCGCCACGGGAAUACGUAGGUGGCAAGCGCUGUCCGGAAUUAUUGGGCGUAAAGGGCUCGCAGGCGGUUUCUUAAGUCUGAUGUGAAAGCCCCCGGCUCAACCGGGGAGGGUCAUUGGAAACUGGGAAACUUGAGUGCAGAAGAGGAGAGUGGAAUUCCACGUGUAGCGGUGAAAUGCGUAGAGAUGUGGAGGAACACCAGUGGCGAAGGCGACUCUCUGGUCUGUAACUGACGCUGAGGAGCGAAAGCGUGGGGAGCGAACAGGAUUAGAUACCCGUGUAGUCCCUGUCUCUUAUAC